Lolium perenne is the source of this 481-nucleotide non-coding RNA. Lineage: Eukaryota; Viridiplantae; Streptophyta; Magnoliopsida; Poales; Poaceae. The record is from RefSeq and is a predicted model, not a curated record.
GGAGUGUGAACAUGAAUAAGGACAGUACAAAAUACUCGAAGGCAUUUAACACCCGACCCAAUCAGAUGAAGACGUAUCCAUGUAUGCAAUGGCAUUGCGGUAGAAAAGGUAGUAAAUCAAGAUAAGAAAACAUCCAAAAGUCAUGUCUUGAUGGCAUCAUCUCGUAAUAUGGCAAGAAACAAAGAUAGAAGAGUGAAACCACACGGCACCCAAUGAGAUUAUUUUUAACAUGGCAUUGCAGUAGAAAAGAGUUAUUUUUAAGGUGCUACCAUGCUCUUUCUCGAAGUAUUUCAUUGUCUCAAGUUUAUAUUGCCACUCCACUUAUGAUGCGCCGGCCCUGACCACAACAAAAAUUAAAAUGAAAUGUAACCAAAGUUAUCCACGUUAGGCACAAAGAGAGAAACGAUGCAAAUGUUCUCACCUCAAUGAAUGAGUUUCGCGAGAAAAGGGGCGAAAGGGACUAUAUAGUAAGAGGAGAUGG